This 558-nucleotide long non-coding RNA is filed under the name Anas zonorhyncha (Eastern spot-billed duck). RNAcentral describes it as "lncRNA (ENSAZOG00000013863.1)". Lineage: Eukaryota; Metazoa; Chordata; Aves; Anseriformes; Anatidae. The record is from RNAcentral.
AUGUACAGCCGGACGCGCCCGGGGUUUCUACAAGAAACAGCCAACGAACGGCAAAAAAAAAAAAAAGCCUUCUCCGGGGAAAAGGGGGGGCCGUGGGGGGGCGGGCGUGGUCGCCAGUGGGGUGUCAUGGCCGCCGGGGUCAUCAUUGGGGUGUCAUGGCCGCCAGGGUGUCAUGGCUGCCAUUGAGGUGUCAUGGCUGCCGUGGUCAUCGCUGUGGUGUCAUGGCCGCCGAGGUGUCAUGGCUGCCGUUGAGGUAUCAUGGCUGCCGGGGUGUCAUGGCCGCUGUGGAGGUGUCAUGGCUGCCUUGGUGGUGUCAUGGCCACUGGGGUCAUCGCUGUGGUGUCAUGGCUGCCAGGGUGUCAUGGCCGCCUUGGUGGUGUCAGCGCUGCCUUUGGGGUCGUCACGGUGAGCACCACGAUGACGUCACACCAACCACGAUGACCUCAAGCCAACCUUGUUGACCUCUCACCAACCACGGUGAUGACCACGGUGACCACCACGAUGACCUCACACCAACCACGAUGACCCAACACCAAUUAGGAUGACCUCUUGCCAACC